Molecule: non-coding RNA, 183 nt
Organism: Caenorhabditis elegans
Lineage: Eukaryota; Metazoa; Nematoda; Chromadorea; Rhabditida; Rhabditidae
Source: Ensembl
AAGAUUUCGAUCGCGGCGUGAGAGCGACACCGGGUGGGAACUCUAUAAUAAAGUAUAGCGAGUGUCCAAACUCAGAAAAUGUCGGACUGUCCGGUCUAAAACGAACGCGAGACAUCCGGCAUUUGCAGAACCGGACGGCGUCCGGGUUGCCUACUCCUCCGUUAACAAUCCAAUUCAAAACUC